UAGAUUGCUGGUGUUGAUGAUUGCGUUCUGCUCUCCGGCUCACCGUAGAGAAACGGAACGUUGGUAAUCGUUGUCCAUGUUCACUCACUGUCUAGGGCCUCUCAUUGUAGCGAACAAAACAAAAUGAAUUCUACGAAGAGGAAGAAAAAUAAACAGCGAUGAUUGUUCAAUGCGACGUUCAAAACUCUUGGAUCUUCCUUAAAUUCGGAAUAAUUGGAAAAAAAAUGCUUAAUUAUAGAAACACUACCUAAACUAUAAUGUUUUGUCAUUAUCACCCCUUAAUUAAAAACCCGAUCACUUACGCUCCUUAACUAUUGAAAAUUGUCACUAACACCCUUUCCGUCUCAUUCUGUCAGUAAGUAGUCAAAAAAGCCAACCAAAAUCUAUGAACUUAGUUGAGCUGAAGUAUACACAAAAUUUGUAAAAUACCUAGUAACACCCCAAAGGGAGAUCUCUCAGCUAAACUACGCCCAAAA
Molecule: long non-coding RNA, 476 nt
Filed under: Actinidia chinensis (golden kiwifruit)
Lineage: Eukaryota; Viridiplantae; Streptophyta; Magnoliopsida; Ericales; Actinidiaceae
Description: long non-coding RNA (ACHI_LNC000275)
Source: RNAcentral